ACCCUGUGGCUCUAUUAUAUGUCGGCGGGCAAAAAGCAAAUUUGGCCCUUCUCGGGCGUUUUGGGCGACGGCGGCCACCGUACCUCGGUUACCCCAAUUAUCUUCCUCCCUUUAACCCCCCCCCCCACUGUACCUGGGGGGCACGGGGGGGGCACCCAGCUAAGGCCCCAUCACCAGAGUGGGUGCUGGGCACCCAGGCCAGGCCGGGGGCGCCAGGAGAGGGGUGCCCAGUCUGGUGGGACGUAUUCCUGGAGGGUUCAUCACAGGCCCCAUUCUCCAUUCCUGGCGACGCCAGGACCCCGACGUGGGGCAGCAACUAGGGGCCCUAGACAGGGAUCGGGGCCCGUGGUGCCAGAUGUUGUGCACACACAGAACAGACCCACAGUCCUGGCCAUGCAGCACUUACGUCAGAGUACAAGAGCUGACACAACGGGUGGCUACAACGCACAAAGAACGAGCACCUGGCAGCGGCCAUGCUCAGAAGACAGGAUGGUGGUAGCUGGCCCAUCGCUCUGCCCCACUAUGGUUGAUCUUAUAUACUCACAACGAAAGGUCAGCAAAGCACCAGCUCCCCCUCCCGUCGGUCUGUCUGUCUCUACUUGUCUCAGAGGUAAACCGAGUCCCCUCCUGCGUUCCUCACUUCAGCCGUGGCAGCCGUGGAGCAGCAGCCCGCCCACCCUGCCGGGACAGCUUAAAAAUCCACCAAACUCGCAGUUUGCGCGAACUGUGCUGUGAAGACACCCCCUAGGACUGUUGGCUUCUCUGUUCGCUGUGCACAGCGCCUGGUGCCAGAGGCUCGGUGGCGGCACCGCCGUGCGGUCGCAUCACAGCAGCCCAGGCCUGCGACACCAACUCUGCUUGGUUACAACGGCACCAGGGUGUAAACAUCACCGUGGUGGCUCAGCGGAAUUCCCCCUUCCAGCUCCGUGGGACCCGGAGAACGGUACGCCUGGCCGCUGCUGGAAGCAGGGGGAGUCGGCCGUUGGCUUCGCCGGCCUGGAAUACGUCACACCAGCUCCAGGUUGAUCAGUCUCCCUGCUAGCAGCCGCGAUCCCAGGUGUGUCCGCCCCACGCACACAGCGAUUCGCUGGUGACGGCGCUGCCGGGCCCCUUUCUCCUUUGACAUGGCAGCCGUCGGUUAGGGCAGCUCCUUUUUCAUUCUUUUGGUGAGAGGGAAUUUCCCGUCGCAAGCCGAUGGGCCAGAGGCCGCGUGCGCUGCCGAGUUCGGGGGGGUGGCACAGCUCUCGUGGAUGCCAGAAGCUGGGCCCCGGGAACGACUCAGAGUUUGCCCUCUGCGUGCAGCCGCCUCGGGAAAUAGCGUCACAGAAAACCACAGAACUGCUGAACGUAAAAACAUGUGGCCCGGGCCUGGGAGCCUGAUGCCAGAAUUCAAGAUGGCUGCCAAGGGAGAGAAAUGGAGCCAAGCCAACACUCUAGCCUUCCUUGUCCAUGAUCGAUGGUUUAUUAGCCCCUCUCCCACCUCAUUGGCUAACCGCAGGUGAUUGACAAGCACCCUGGUGCAGACGCAGGGCUCUUCGAUUGGCCGGGACUCUCUCAGGCCCGUAACUUGUACACGGUCCAGCCAAUAAGCAGGCAGGGACGACAACCCAAGCCGUAACCUAUAGCUUCCCCCCCGAGGCUAUUUGUGGGGCGCUGAAGCGAAGCGGCCGUCCCGGGGGAGGCUGGAGUUCCCAAGCCGGAGAGUCUGGUUUCCGGGCGCGGGGACCGGUGGCGGCACGUCACAGCCCCGGGAAUUGCUCUCCUCUUGGCCCCCGCGUUUGAUCUCCUGCCAGGCUGCGCGCUCGCUCGGGGCAGUCUGGGGAGGAGACGCCCCGGAGGCCAGGCAGGCUGGGGGGGGUCACACAACAGCAGGGAGGCUUUGCCAGCCUCCAUCUCGCUGGCUCCUCAAACAAGAGGGUUUAAAGUUCACAGCAGAGGGGGCCGGUCGUGGCUCCCCCCCCACCCCCCGGCUUCGGCUGGAGCUUUGCAGGGGCGGCUCGUCCCCCUUCAAAGCGUGGGGGGGUGGCAGCAGCCGGCUGAAGCGCAGAUGCCCUGCAGCCAUACAGCACGAGAGCGAGCACUCUGCUCACGGGUGCCCUUGGCUUCCGGCCGGCCGGCGGCUGGGCUGCGUGGGAUGAGAGGGCCCCAGCCUGCAGGGCCACGCCGGCGUCACCCGCCCCGGCACGAGGCUCGCUCAGAGGGGAGGUUUUAUUGGCCUAGGGACAGGCCUCGAGCCUGUGGGUCCCCACUCAGCUCUCCCUGCACCACAGAGGCCCCUGGGCCCAGUGCGUCCCUCCUUGGCGGGCAGCAGACCAGCCCCAAAACACUAGUAGGGCCUACACAAAAACACGGGCUAUGUUCUACUCAAAGGUUGUUUUUAAAGUCUUGAUUGGGGGUGGAGGUCAGGAAGGGAGGGGGGGUGACACACCACGCUCAGAGGGUCAUGUUAGGGGCAAAGCUCAGGCUAACAAUCCACGUGCUCUGGGGGCAGGCGGAGCCGCACACAGCCGGGACGUGGGCUCCGGAUGGAGGUGGCCCUGCCCAUUACUGCAGGUGGGAUGCCCGUGGGCAGCUGCUCUAUAAGGCAGCCUUGUGGAUGACAGGGCAGCAGGAGCCAGGUUGGGCUGACCCCGGGCAGGGCACCCGCUCUGUUUGCAGCCCCCGGCCCCGCUGCUGCUCGGUGCGUCCUCUGCAGCGCAAGUGCCGGAUGGAUGGAGCCUGCCCCAUGGCAUGGCCGUGUGUUGCCGCCAGCGGGGGUGCCCGGGGGUGCCCAGGGCGGCAGUGAUUAGCUCAUGCCGGCCUCCUGGACAGACCUCCUCUGUGAGCGGCUGCUGUGAGGCCGGAGAUGCAGAGGGUGCAGCCUGCAGGGAGCAGCGAGGGGGACUGGGGCGGCCUGCACACAAGGGGUCAAUUGUACACACAGGCCCCAGCUUCCUUCCUUGGCGGAAGCCACCAGCGAGCAGGGCGAGGAGGCGGCUGGGCAGGGCAGGGCAGGGCCGCCCCAGCCCCAACCCAGGACUAGCCUGUGGCACUGCAAAGGGAGGCUGCAGCAGGAGGUUUGGGGUUCCUGCCGGCUGCACGGGGAGGGAGUGGCUCUCACCUGGCAGUAGAAGAGAGGUUCGGCCAGUCCUGGAGCCGCGAAAGGAGCCAGCCGGGCUCGGAGACACAACCCGGCCAGAGCGCAGCAGCUCUAACAUGCCGGGGCCUGUACGGCUGUUGGUGCUGUGAACCUCGCUGCAGAGCCCCGCGAGCUCUCAGCACAUGCGCCCCUCGCUGUGGGGCUGGGACGGGCUCUGCACUGCUCAGGCUGCGGGCCUCUGCCAAGCAGGGGCUGUGAGAACAGGAUGGGGGCCAGGCCGCUCCAAGCCGGGGUGAUGGGAGGCACCUGCUGGGAGUCAGAGGUGCCCGGGCAAAGCCCCAGGGAGGGGAGAUGGGACGAGCGCUGAGGGGGGCCUGGGGCUCCCCGUGGUACUGGAUGCCUCCAGCUGGACAGAGGGGAGGGGGGCGGUCUCACCAAGCCCUGAGUUAGGCCCCAGAGCUCAUGAGAUGCUGGUAAGGGCCCGUGCCUGGUUUUUCAGGGUGUCUGAGCCCCCGCCCCACAGCAGGGGUGACGAUCACAGCCCUGCCGCUCCCCCAGGCAGGUGCCGGCAGGACCCAGCUGGGAUCUGCACACGCAGCCUGGGGCAUGGAGCGCCCAGCUCCCCGCCCCCGGCAGCCCCCGGGAUCCCCCCGCUGCGAACACGGGCUCUGCUCCACCCUCCCUGCCUGGCUCCUGCUGCUCCCCCAAACUCCUCCCAGCUCAGCCUCACACUGCUGCCGCUCUGAUUGGCUGCUCUGCCCAGGGAGGCAGGAUAGUGGGGAAGGCAGCCAAUCAGAUGCUGGUGGGGGGGGCAGGCCCAGCCCAGACCUGCGCUGCCCCUUGCCACCACACCCCACUUCGGCCAUGGGGGCUCCUCUCGGCCACUCAGAGCCGGGGAAGGGGCAGGGCAGAAACAGAUGAGUGAGGGAGAGGGGCUGAGGCUGCCUCCUUGCAACCCCCCCCACCCCACACACACACCCCUACACCAUGAGGCAGAGAAAAUACUGAAGCGGUUUUAUUUACAGACCCAACAAAAACCCAAACGAAACAAAGGGGUCGGGGAGGGGUGACGCCCUAUUGCACAGUUUGAACCCCAGAGAUGGGGGGGCACAGGCACCAGCGCAUGGGGAGCCCCCAGCAUCCCCUCCCCCUCAGUGCCUACUGCCCCUUUCCCAGCCACAGGGGGGAGAGAAACAGCUUCCCGGGCAGGCGUGAGUGAGAUGGGGAGUGCACAAUGACCCAGCCCCACGGCAGCCCAGGGUGUCCAGCAGGGGGCACGUGGGGGGUCGUGGGGCCCGGCUUGCAUGGCACCCGCUCACCAGCACAGCGGUUACAGCACAAGCUAACGGCGGCCACGGGGAGAAUAAAUAAAUUACAAAAUAUAUUAACA
This is a long non-coding RNA of Chelonia mydas (Green sea turtle), 4469 nucleotides long. RefSeq lists it as uncharacterized. NCBI's taxonomy places the organism in Eukaryota, Metazoa, Chordata, Testudines, Cheloniidae. The transcript has 4 exons. The record is from RefSeq and is a predicted model, not a curated record.